Molecule: unclassified non-coding RNA, 324 nt
Filed under: Hevea brasiliensis (rubber tree)
Lineage: Eukaryota; Viridiplantae; Streptophyta; Magnoliopsida; Malpighiales; Euphorbiaceae
Source: RNAcentral
UUCCCAAAAAGAGCAAGGUUGUGAAUAUUUUUUGGUUAUAAUUUUGUGUGCAGAUCCUAUGAUUCUUGGGUGAGAGAUGAUACCAUGGAUCUGCUUUGCUUUAAUCAACAAAACUUGAAAAUUACUUGCACCCUUGACUCUGAUGAUCGUCGACCCUAACACCUACAGGAGAUUGAGAUGUAGUGCUACUAUGCUGAAGCACCCUUCCUCCAAGUCUCCUUCGGUUAGCUAGGAUUACUAUGGUGGGCUUUGGGCCCUAUUGGUUUUUGGACUUAAUUUGUAAGGGCCUCAAGUUGUUUAUCAUUUUAAAUGAUUGGAUGGGCG